CCCCCCCCCCCCCCUCCCGUUGCACUCUCUCAAUUUCCAGAGUCAAUAUUUGGUCUGCGUAUUGCUUCAAGGUGGCGAGCGUGCAGUCCGUUCGCCAUGAUGAGAUGAGCAACUCACACUCACUCUUCUUGCUGCUGCAACGGGCUGCCAGGCUGGUGGUGCUGCCCGACUGGCUGUGCUCCUCCAUGCUGGCAUCAAAAGCCGGGUUGACUAAACCCGCCUCGUCUGACAGCAGGGCCACGGCGGCGGACGCGGGGCCGUCGCCGGGCAACGUGGCGAUGGUGAGCUCCGACGUGCUGUCCGUGCACUCGCCUUCCUGAGAGCGCCGCUUCCUGUCCGCCGAGAGGCCAUAGUGAGAGGCGCCUUUACACCUUCAUCGACAAGAGUGGGGGGGGGGGGAGAGUGUGUCAGACAACGACAAGCAUUUCGGGCAAAUAACACGUGAGUGAUAUUUUCAUGAAUCUUUUGUUAUGAAUAAUGUGUUGAAGCAGUUUUUGGCACCAAGUAGUUUGGGGUAAAGGUCAAUACAUUCAUGAGAGAGACUGAAAAGUUCACGGUCAAAAAAACGCAUGGGAGAAGACUUAUUUUUGGGUAUUUUAGAAAAAUCAAAGCUGGAUUCGACAAAAAAUGUCUUCCGGCCCAUCCAUAGUAAUCAACAUUGACAAGCACAGAUAGACAUGAUGCAGACGGACUUUCCAGAUCCAGGUAAAGCAAUCCCGGUGGAAUCUUUUUUUUUUUUCUCGUCCAUUUGCGCUUCAUCAGAGACAGAAAUUAGGUCUGCCUCACUUUCCUCCAGUCGUCUCUGCGGAGCCAUCAGCAUGGACAUUAAGUGGGCCGUAAUGAGCUAGAUCAAACCCAUGCUCAGAGAAGAAAAAUCCGUUCUCUGGGCCCAACCAGAGGGUUAAAAAAAAAGGAUAAUUCGAAGGCCUGCAGAGAAUUGGCUGACCUGACCGUGUCCAUAUUUCACGGGGAAAAUAACAUUCCUUUGCCUCUCUACAUAUCGCUGACAUCUUUUACUUUCAGUUACAGAUCGCAGCGGGUCGGAGGGAGCUUUACACAAAGGCCCCCCCCCCCCCCCGCUCCGCUCCGCGAGUCGCCAUCGAUCCCAUCGAGCCGCCGCACUCUUACGUAACACGAGCGGGGGGCCAGCCUGUGAGAGUUAUUCCUGCUCGUUCGAGAAAGACCCAUCGCAGAGAAUGCUUUGGCCUCCAUCUCUACCUCAUGUGCCCCCCUCCCCCCCCCGCAGGCAGCGUCCCGGUUACCCCGCCCUUCCACGUGCUGACAGGCGGCCAGCUCCCGGCCAACCCUGACCCCGAAGCCCUGGCGCUCACGGCACUCGCGUGAGGGAUUAACGCCGCCGCUGUCACUUACACUCUUGCUGCCGACGAGCCAAAAAGAAGCGAUGAGAAAAUGCUCUGACCGGCCGCAAAGAGCCAACAUUUGCGGGCGGGGGGUCAACAGAUUUAGCCUUCUUAAGCCAUCUGGGCGACGGAACUCACUUGAAUGAUUUAGGAGCGGAUAUUAAAGCGUGGUGCAUUGCGGAGGAAAUACAUCGAGAGAAGAGCUCAUUGAUGACUGUGGCCGCUCUCCUUUCCCAGAUGCGUCGCGCAGAAAAACGAUCUCUUCAAACAACGCUAUACAGCGGGGAUCAGACGUUCAAACAUAGGAGACGGAAGACUGUCAUGUCUAAAGUCCGCAGCUCCAUAGCCCGUUUUGAUGUUGCGAGAACCCGAAAUGAAGCGUUCUCGACACAAUGGCUUCCUCACUCCAUUUUCCCCCAAAGUCUACUCAGUAAUUUCAUCUUCUCUUGAAUGUUCAUGAUCUUCCUGCGGCACUGCGACACAGAGGGUUUGUGAUCCAGUGCGGUAAAAAGAGUAUAUAGUAAAAAUUGUUCCCGCUUAUUUGGCAGGAGAAACGGUCCCAACCCGAAACUCACUUAGCCGCAUGAAUAAAUGAAACGCAGCAUGCAUGAUUCAGAUGCACCACACUCGCUGCGCACAGACGUGCGUUGUACGUCAUCAAGCAAGCGUCUAAUGCACAUUAACUGGAUCCUCUGGUUUAUUUAUGAGGGUUGGAAUUCAUCUCCCCAACUUGCAUCUAUUUUCUGCACCCUCAACAGUUAGCAUUUAACAUUCAACUUUGAUCGCUAUUUGUUCUAACCUUCGAGGCGAUGUGGUUUUUGUUCAACGGAGACACACGUUUACAAGGUUGUUUUAGAUCACCGGUGUCAAAGUCAAGGCCCGGGGGCCAGGUCCGGCCCCCCCACUUCAUUUUAUGUGGCCCGCGGGAGCAAAUCAUGUGUGUCGACAAUCAUGAUUCUUGCUGAAAUCUGUACCGAAAUGUCAAAUCGUCAUAGGUAAUAAAUAACAUUACAAGAUUUUGCACCGGCCCUCCGAGGGAAGCCAGAAGUCUGAAAUGGCCUGCGACAAAAAAUGAGACACCCCUGUUAUAGACCAACAUAUUCCAACUAAGACUGCCACCCAAAUACCACAAAGACCAAUAUAUUCCCUUUUUGAGGUGUGCUUCAAUAUGUUUUUUUUCUUUUAUUGGACUUCAGAACCAUUUAGCCCUCCAUUAUGUCCAAAUAGAAUGAGACAGGGGCCCGGACGAAAAGUCUAAUUAGUUGAGAGAUUGAGUCAUGAGGUUCGAUGACCCGAUGACUCGGAACCUCUGCUGUAAAACCAGUGACGCGUACAGUUGGGAUCCAGCUAGCGCGUGCCUUUGGGGUUGCUAAUCCCGUUAGGGUGCGUUCAUGCUGAAGCGUGAUCAAACACCCUGCAGAUGCGGGCUGAACGGUUGAGCAUUCCCGAGCUCAUGGUAGUGUUUAAGAAGUUGAGCCUUUGCUCCCAUUGGGUUCCAUCUUAAGGAAACAUGGUAUUCCCUUCCACGGCUAUGCAGAUGACUGCCAGAGC
Long non-coding RNA from Hippocampus zosterae (dwarf seahorse), 2912 nucleotides. RefSeq lists it as uncharacterized. The record is from RefSeq and is a predicted model, not a curated record. The transcript has 3 exons. Lineage: Eukaryota; Metazoa; Chordata; Actinopteri; Syngnathiformes; Syngnathidae.